AGUGAUGCAAUCAUUUCCCAUGAUACAUUAUGAUGAUGCACAACUUGAACAAAGGAAAAACAAACUCACAUUGUCGGACUCCACGGUGCCACUUGGAGGUGCAUUGCGUACUUGCUCCAAGCAAGCUGCACAUAGGCUUGAUAUUCUCCCAACGCCCUUGAAGUGAUCGAAAUGUGCGUGCAGUCCUAAUGCGGAAAUAUUGAUCUUCGAUCCUUUGCCAAUAUCUCUUGGCGGUUUGAGAAACACCCAUGCA
Molecule: long non-coding RNA, 253 nt
Filed under: Hordeum vulgare
Lineage: Eukaryota; Viridiplantae; Streptophyta; Magnoliopsida; Poales; Poaceae
Description: long non-coding RNA (HVUL_LNC002142)
Source: RNAcentral